AUAAUCUGGACAUCUACUGGUCCUAGUCUGCAAAGCUAAGGCUGCCUAGCACCUUCAAUACUGUGCCAUGGUCUUUCCUCUUUGAGGGGAGUGCUGGAAGUAGGGAAUCCCUCAAAGUGAUCUAUUAUAAUUUAAAUGGUAAAUCUAGUUGAUAGAGGAGUUCUGCCACGUAAGAAUAACUGAUUCCUCUGUCGACUGAGGGAUUAAAUCAAAGACCCUUCAAAAUGGCUGUGUGGGAAUAUUCAGCAUCUGUGGACGUGUUUUUGUUGAGACAUCUCUGUGCUGAGCCAUCUCAUCUGAAAGAGGCUGAGAGCAUAUGAAGGCAGACAAAGUACCCCUUGAUGACAAAAAAUGCAAAUCCCAAACAAAACAUUUGCAGAACCAUUAGUCACCAUUUCCAUGCAACUGAGCAAUGAUAUAGUAUUAUAGAAUGACUCAAAGAUUUGUUACGACUUCUGGUGAAGUGUUCUGCCCUCUGCUUUAUUUCCCCCUGCCUGACUGUUGGUUUUCCCAAGACCUGCUGGCAGAGGAAGGUUUUUGCAGUCUGCAGUGAUGAUUCUGAGAAGUGUGUAGGAAACAGAACCAUGCUGGAUGAUGUGACUCACCUUGGAGAAGUUGAUGCUUUCUGGCUGAGUGAAAGUGGAAAGUUCCAGCCUUGCUAGUUCAGAUGUUUUAAUGGAUAUUGCUGCAGCAGAGAAACCCUUGUAUUCAUGUCUUGCUCAGCCCUGGAUAGGGGAGUAACAAGUUACAUACUGACUGAAAAGUUUAAUUAUUUAUGAUUUAAAAAAAAA
Molecule: long non-coding RNA, 791 nt
Organism: Dryobates pubescens (Downy woodpecker)
Lineage: Eukaryota; Metazoa; Chordata; Aves; Piciformes; Picidae
Exons: 4
Source: RefSeq, a predicted model, not a curated record